ACUGAACGCUGGCGGCAUGCUUUACACAUGCAAGUCGAACGGUAGAGGGGGCAACCCCUUGAGAGUGGCGAACGGGUGAGUAAUGCAUCGGAACGUGCCCAGUCGUGGGGGAUAACGCAGCGAAAGCUGUGCUAAUACCGCAUACGAUCUCUGGAUGUAAGCGGGGGACCGAAAGGCCUCGCGCGAUUGGAGCGGCCGAUGUCAGAUUAGGUAGUUGGUGGGGUAAAGGCUCACCAAGCCAACGAUCUGUAGCUGGUCUGAGAGGACGACCAGCCACACUGGGACUGAGACACGGCCCAGACUCCUACGGGAGGCAGCAGUGGGGAAUUUUGGACAAUGGGCGCAAGCCUGAUCCAGCAAUGCCGCGUGCAGGAAGAAGGCCUUCGGGUUGUAAACUGCUUUUGUACGGAACGAAAAGGUCUGGGUUAAUACCCUGGGCACAUGACGGUACCGUAAGAAUAAGCACCGGCUAACUACGUGCCAGCCGCCGCAGUAA
This 496-nucleotide ribosomal RNA is filed under the name uncultured bacterium. Its description in RNAcentral is "partial 16S ribosomal RNA". It matches the Rfam family "Bacterial small subunit ribosomal RNA", at positions 30 to 523 of the family's 1533-position model. The record is from RNAcentral.